RNAcentral lists this long non-coding RNA (463 nucleotides) under Salvia miltiorrhiza (redroot sage). RNAcentral describes it as "long non-coding RNA (SMIL_LNC000277)". Lineage: Eukaryota; Viridiplantae; Streptophyta; Magnoliopsida; Lamiales; Lamiaceae. The record is from RNAcentral.
UUUUUCUUUCAAAAGGUUUGUACAUGCUCAAGCACAUAAACCUAAACAUGCUUCUCUAGAACGCAACAUGUAAAUCAUGCUCGCAGAAUUCUAAAACAUGCUUAAGAAAACGGCAAACCUACUAGCAUGCUCGUCUAAGCGCAAUUAAUAAACAAAUAUUAAUAAACAAAGACGGGCAAAAGCAGGUAAAGAGCAUAAGGGAUUAACAACCACGACAUGCAAAGAAACAUAAUUAAAGAAUUAAAAUUCUUCGUGACCCAUUCGUGGAAACCCAACAUCUAUUCUAUUACAAAAUAAAAUAAAUAAAAAUGGACAAAAAAAGCCCAAAAAAAAUGCCUAAAAAGGCUGAAAAAAGAACCAGCCCUUGCUUGGGCCCAAAAAACGCGGCCCAGCCGCCCAGGCCCGUCCAGCAACGGCCCAGAUUCGCAAGGAGAAGCCCAGGCCCGCAAGGAGCAGCCCAGAC